AUACAGAGGGUGCAAGCGUUAAUCGGAAUUACUGGGCGUAAAGCGCGCGUAGGCGGUUUAUUAAGUCGGAUGUGAAAUCCCUGGGCUCAACCUGGGAACUGCAUUCGAAACUGAUUGACUAGAGUAUGGUAGAGGGUGGUGGAAUUCCUAGUGUAGCGGUGAAAUGCGUAGAUAUUAGGAGGAACAUCAGUGGCGAAGGCGACCACCUGGACCAAUACUGACGCUGAGGUGCGAAAGCGUGGGGAGCAAACAGGAUUAGAAACCCUAGUAGUCC
This 274-nucleotide ribosomal RNA is filed under the name uncultured bacterium. RNAcentral's name for it is "partial 16S ribosomal RNA". It matches the Rfam family "Bacterial small subunit ribosomal RNA", at positions 523 to 796 of the family's 1533-position model. The record is from RNAcentral.